AAUGUUAUUUAUGAACAAUAUUUAGGCAGUAAUAAUUCAAUGCGUCAAAAGACGUACACUAAAUUAUUAACACGGAACAGUUCAUCAAACUUUAAUGUAAAUACAAUCGAGAAUACAUCUUUUCCUUGUUCCUUCUUUUCCUACUUCAUAUAUGUAUGACUCUCAUAUUAAUAAUAAUAAUAGAAUUUCUUACGAAAAGUCUGUUCCAACUAUUUCGUUCUAUGAAUCUCCUCAAACUCAGCGACAUGAAGCACAUCAGUACCAGAAAGAACCUUCUCGACUAAUAUCUAUUUGAGAAAGAAACAAUCUCGAUCGGAGUCAUGUAGGAUAUAAUCUUCAUCAAAAUCAAGCAAGAUGCAAUCUCGUUCAGAGCCAAGCAGAAUACAAUUUUGGUCAGAGCCAAGCAGAAUACAAUUUUGGUCAGAGCCAAACAGGAAGCAGAUCACGAGAUAGAGAAGUAGAUGUCAAUACGAAAAAUUGAACAAUGUUGUUUCAAAAGAAGAUUUUCAUUUCAGAUAAAAGUGCUUCUAUAUUCACAC
Molecule: long non-coding RNA, 539 nt
Filed under: Camponotus floridanus (Florida carpenter ant)
Lineage: Eukaryota; Metazoa; Arthropoda; Insecta; Hymenoptera; Formicidae
Description: uncharacterized LOC105253201, transcript variant X1
Source: RNAcentral